This 255-nucleotide ribosomal RNA is filed under the name uncultured bacterium. RNAcentral describes it as "partial 16S ribosomal RNA". It matches the Rfam family "Bacterial small subunit ribosomal RNA", at positions 78 to 334 of the family's 1533-position model. The record is from RNAcentral.
UCUUUCUUUGCUGGCGACCGGCGCACGGGUGAGUAACACGUAUCCAACCUGCCCUUUACUCGGGGAUAGCCUUUCGAAAGAAAGAUUAAUACCCGAUAGCAUAAUGAUUCCGCAUGGUUUCAUUAUUAAAGGAUUCCGGUAAAGGAUGGGGAUGCGUUCCAUUAGGUUGUUGGUGAGGUAACGGCCCACCAAGCCUUCGAUGGAUAGGGGUUCUGAGAAGAAGGUCCCCCACAUUGGAACUGAGACACGGUCCAA